UGUAUUGAUUGUUGCAGGGUUCUUCUAAAGCCGGGUUUCUCGGCGAAGCCUCGAUCGAUUUCUCCGAUUUUGCAGCCGAAAACAGCCUGUUACGGUCUCCCUGCCCCUUAAGUUUGCAAACUCCGGUGCCAUUCUACAUGUGACAAUUCAUAAAAUUGAGGGAGCUGAAGAUCAGAGAUACGUCGGAGAUGGUGAAGAUUCGAUCAUUUCCAGAGAGGGAAGCCUGCACAGACAAGUCAUGGAUUACAGUGACAA
Molecule: long non-coding RNA, 255 nt
Organism: Hibiscus syriacus
Lineage: Eukaryota; Viridiplantae; Streptophyta; Magnoliopsida; Malvales; Malvaceae
Exons: 3
Source: RefSeq, a predicted model, not a curated record